This 595-nucleotide ribosomal RNA is filed under the name uncultured bacterium. RNAcentral describes it as "partial 16S ribosomal RNA". It matches the Rfam family "Bacterial small subunit ribosomal RNA", at positions 355 to 941 of the family's 1533-position model. The record is from RNAcentral.
UAGGGAAUCUUCGGCAAUGGACGAAAGUCUGACCGAGCAACGCCGCGUGAGUGAAGAAGGUUUUCGGAUCGUAAAACUCUGUUGUUAGAGAAGAACAAGGAUGAGAGUAAAAUGUUCAUCCCUUGACGGUAUCUAACCAGAAAGCCACGGCUAACUACGUGCCAGCAGCCGCGGUAAUACGUAGGUGGCAAGCGUUGUCCGGAUUUAUUGGGCGUAAAGCGAGCGCAGGCGGUUUCUUAAGUCUGAUGUGAAAGCCCCCGGCUCAACCGGGGAGGGUCAUUGGAAACUGGGAGACUUGAGUGCAGAAGAGGAGAGUGGAAUUCCAUGUGUAGCGGUGAAAUGCGUAGAUAUAUGGAGGAACACCAGUGGCGAAGGCGGCUCUCUGGUCUGUAACUGACGCUGAGGCUCGAAAGCGUGGGGAGCGAACAGGAUUAGAUACCCUGGUAGUCCACGCCGUAAACGAUGAGUGCUAAGUGUUGGAGGGUUUCCGCCCUUCAGUGCUGCAGCAAAACGCAUUAAAGCACUCCCGCCUGGGGGAGUACGACCGCAAGGUUGAAACUCAAAUGAAAUUGACGGGGGUCAUAGCUGUUUCCUG